Molecule: long non-coding RNA, 2398 nt
Organism: Oncorhynchus tshawytscha (Chinook salmon)
Lineage: Eukaryota; Metazoa; Chordata; Actinopteri; Salmoniformes; Salmonidae
Source: Ensembl
AUUUGAGUGCCUUAUUGGAAUGAUGUUGAGUCCACAUGUUCAGACAGACAGGAAGUGGCUGAUUAAAUCACCUUUAUUAAAAGAUACAAGAUGCUGGAAUACCAACACUUUAGAAUGCAGAAGUACUUUACACACAGGCCCAGGCUUGUGUCCAACAUGGCCCCUUAUUCACUAUAUAGUGCACUACUUUACACACAGGCCCAGGCUUGUGUCCAAUAUGGCCCCUUAUUCACUAUAUAGUGCACUACUUUACACACAGGCCCAGGCUUGUGUCCAAUAUGGCCCCUUAUUCACUAUAUAGUGCACUACUUUACACACAGGCCCAGGCUUGUGUCCAAUAUGGCCCCUUAUUCACUAUAUAGUGCACUACUUUACACACAGGCCCAGGCUUGUGUCCAAUAUGGCCCCUUAUUCACUAUAUAGUGCACUACUUUACACACAGGCCCAGGCUUGUGCCCAACCAAACUCACAUAGAGGCUGUAUCCAAUAUGGCCCCUUAUUCACCAUGUAGUGCACUACUUUAGACCAGAGCCCUAUUCCCUAUAUAGGGCACUACUUUAGACCAAAGCCCUAUUCCAUAUAUAGUGCACUACUUUAGACCAGAGCCCUAUUCCCUAUAUAGUGCACUACUUUAGACCAGAGCCUAAUUCCAUAUAUAGUGCACUACUUUAGACCAGAGCCCUAUUCCCUAGAUAGUGCACUACCUUUAACUACAGCAUUAUUCCAUAUAUAGUGCACUACUUUAGACCAGAGCCCUAUUCCCUAUAUAGUGCACAACAUUAUACUACAGCCCUAUUCCCUAUAUAGUGCACUACUUUAUACUACAGCCCUAUUCCCUAUAUAGUGCACUACUUUUAACCAGAGCCCUGAAUAGACCAGACACCUAAUCAUCUAUAUACAUCUUAAUCUAGCAUUGUGUUUCUCCUAUUAAUCACCCUGUGAAUGACUCUCUAUGGGUCCAGGUUAACACACUAUAAAGGGAACAGAAUGACUCUCUAUGGGUCCAGGUUAACACACUAUAAAGGGGAACAGAAUGACUCUCUAUGGGUCCAGGUUAACACACUAUAAAGGGGAACAGAAUGACUCUCUAUGGGUCCAGGUUAACACUCUAUAAAGGGGAACAGAAUGACUCUCUAUGGGUCCAGGUUAACACACUAUAAAGGGAACAGAAUGACUCUCUAUGGGUCCAGGUUAACACUCUAUAAGGGGAACAGAAUGACUCUCUAUGGGUCCAGGUUAACACUCUAUAAGGGGAACAGAAUGACUCUCUAUGGGUCCAGGUUAACACUCUAUAAGGGGAACAGAAUGACUCUCUAUUGGUCCAGGUUAACACUCUAUAAGGGGAACAGAAUGACUCUCUAUGGGUCCAGGUUAACACAUUAUAAAGUGAAUAAGAGUCCAUUUGGAACACAGCCACAGUAGUAAUAACAAAGGUAUUUUUUGAUCAAAAUCCCUGUAAAUAUCUGCGGUAUCCUUGCCAACCCAUUUCAAUCUGCAGGUUGUUUUUUUCUUUUCAAAAUCACAACGUGACAGUAAACCAGUCUUUAAAGAAAAAAGAGAUCUGAAACCAUGCAACACUCAACAAGCCCACGUUACAGUUACUUCUGGGUUCGCCACCGUUUUGAAUGGCAUCAUCAAUAUCAUCAUCAUCAUCAUCAUCAUCAUCAUCAUCAUCAUCAAUAUCAUGAUCAUCGUCAUCAAUAUCAUGAUCAUCAUCAUCAAUAUCAUCAUCAUCAUCAUCAAUAUCAUGAUCAUCAUCAUCAAUAUCAUCAUCAUCAAUAUCAUGAUCAUCGUCAUCAAUAUCAUGAUCAUCAUCAUCAAUAUCAUCAUCAUCAUCAUCAAUAUCAUGAUCAUCAUCAUCAAUAUUAUCAUCAUCAAUAUCAUGAUCAUUAUCAAUAUCAUGAUCAUCAUCAACAAUAUCAUGAUCAUCAUCAAUAUCAUCAUCAUCAAUAUCAUGAUCAUCAUCAAUAUCAUGAUCAUCAUCAUCAUCAUCAAUAUCAUCAUCAUCAUCAUCAAUAUCAUCAUCAUCAACACUUACAACACCAUAAGACUUCACACAACAGUGACAAGGACGUUUUGACGUUUUUUUGGGGGGGGGAGACAGAAUCGAUCAAAUCUCGAAGACCUCAUCCACUGAGUUUCCAUGACAGGACAAAACGGGUCACGUCGUAGAUAGAACGGGGUUCUCUUCUGUUUCAUUAGUUCGUUACCCGAGUCCAUCGCUGCCUUUAGGCCUCAUGCUUGGUGUUAAAGGGGGACAGUGACGAGCAACAGAUAUACACUACACUUCAGCAAACUAACCACUGGCACCAAACACUAACCUGCUGCUCCCAGAUCAGUGUCUAACCUCCGUGUUGGCACCAAACACUAACCUGCAGCUCCCAGAUCAGUGUCUAAC